RNAcentral lists this ribosomal RNA (497 nucleotides) under uncultured bacterium. RNAcentral's name for it is "partial 16S ribosomal RNA". It matches the Rfam family "Bacterial small subunit ribosomal RNA", at positions 28 to 507 of the family's 1533-position model. The record is from RNAcentral.
GAUGAACGCUGGCGGCGUGCCUAAUACAUGCAAGUCGAGCGAACAGAUGAGGAGCUUGCUCCUCUGACGUUAGCGGCGGACGGGUGAGUAACACGUGGAUAACCUACCUAUAAGACUGGGAUAACUACGGGAAACCGGAGCUAAUACCGGAUAAUAUAUUGAACCGCAUGGUUCAAUAGUGAAAGACGGUUUUGCUGUCACUUAUAGAUGGAUCCGCGCCGCAUUAGCUAGUUGGUAAGGUAACGGCUUACCAAGGCAACGAUGCGUAGCCGACCUGAGAGGGUGAUCGGCCACACUGGAACUGAGACACGGUCCAGACUCCUACGGGAGGCAGCAGUAGGGACUCUUCCGCAAUGGGCGAAAGCCUGACGGAGCAACGCCGCGUGAGUGAUGAAGGUCUUCGGAUCGUAAAACUCUGUUAUUAGGGAAGAACAAAUGUGUAAGUAACUAUGCACGUCUUGACGGUACCUAAUCAGAAAGCCACGGCUAACUACGUG